This 73-nucleotide transfer RNA is filed under the name Desmophyllum pertusum. Its description in RNAcentral is "Lophelia pertusa tRNA". It matches the Rfam family "tRNA". From Rfam's summary of the family: Transfer RNA (tRNA) molecules are approximately 80 nucleotides in length. The record is from Rfam by way of RNAcentral. Lineage: Eukaryota; Metazoa; Cnidaria; Anthozoa; Scleractinia; Caryophylliidae.
GGCUUCAUAGCUCAGUGGUAGAGCAUUUGAACUGGAAUCACAAAGGUCAUGGGUUCGAAUCCCGUUGGAGCCU